GUUCUGGCAGUUGGUACAGUUAUGGCAGGUGAAUUGUCUUAACAGGUAGAGUAGCAGGAAUGUUAUGUUGUGCUGCUGUCCUCCUCAUAGUUAGUUAGCCUGUAGCAGUUUAAUCAAAGUAAGUGGUUUUAGCAACUUAAGUAUCUGUAUUGUAUAUUUUAAUCUGAAAGUGCAAGUACAGUGAUACCUCGGUUUUAGAACAUAGUCCAUUCUGGAAGACCGUUCGAGUUCUGAAACCUUAGAAAACCAAGGCACAAAGGGCAGCCUGUAAAUUUGAUAGAAUUGCAAAAACCUCAGCGGAAGCCAUUCAACUUCAGAGGUGCGUUUGAAAAUGGAACCAUUUACUUCCAGGUUUUUGGCGUUUGGGUUCCAAAAUGUUCGUCAAUGGAAACAUUCAAAACCCGAGGCACCACUGUACACUAAGUUAAAGUUAUGUGUUAUUUAAACUAGGGCUGUCGCACUUCCGGAAAUUCCCAGACAUAGUUGGGAUUCAGCUGUCGGAAACAGUGCCCAGGCAAAAAUUGUUUAAAUGUCCGGGAAAAUCUGGACGUAUGGCAACCCAUGUCAGAAGUGUAGAUUUUGGUGAAUGUCUUUAAAAAUAGCUCAAAAACUUCUCUCUUUUUUGAGAUUUUGCAACAACUUAGCCCCAAAAACUUUUCACUUUUUGAAAUAUGGCAACCCUAAUUUAAUCUUUAAAAGAGAGUGUGUAGUUUUUAUAGGAGGAAAAAACAACAACCAAUGAAAGGGUCAAAUGACCUAGGGCUGUCUUUCGCAUACUCUGCAAAUGGGAUAUGGAGUCUAAUUCCCACAGAAAGAGCACCAGAGAUUCACCUUUUCAACAGUGGCUUUCCAUGUCUCCCAUCCCAGUUGUCCUUGUCUAACACAGGAUCACCUUAGACUAGGCAUGGCCAAACUUGGCUCUCCAGCUGUUUUUGGACUACAACUCCCAUCACCCCUAGCUAACAGGACCAGUCGUCAGGGAUGAUGGGAAUUGUAGUCCCAAAACAGCUGGAGGGCCAAGUUUGGCCAUGCUUGCCUUAGACAGACAGGGUCUAUAAUUCUCCCUUGCCUCAACUUCCUCAAAAGCCCUCCUCCAUCCUUUGAAAACUUUUUGCAAGGCACUUUGUGUGUGUGCACAUGUGUCUCAACUGGCCAGGCCCACCAGUAACUAGUCUCCAGUACAGGAAGUCAGAAAGACUAGGUCUUGGGGUACACUUCCAGCUGCAAGAGAAUCAGCUGACUUUCCAAGCCAGUCAGGACCCACCAAGCUCCCUAAGACCCUUUGCAGCCCAGAAACUCCUCUCCUUUCUUUCCUCUGGCCUUGAAUGGUUGGCCUGGAAAGCAGAUGUGUGAUUCAGUUUGUGUGUCAAGAAGCAAAAACAUUGUUUUGAAAUGUCAGGUGUUUCAUGGGUAAAGUAAGCACUUGGGUUCCAGCCUUUGACUACCUGCAGAGAGUUGCUACUAGUAAAGACACUGAGAAGCGAAAGUAGGUUUUGCCUUUAAGGAGGAAACAUCUUGUCUUCGUUCCAGAGACUCCAUCAAAGAUAGAAGAAUGGGAAAAGCCCCAGAGGAGAAAUUUUAUCACGGCCCCAAAUCUUUGCAGCAUCAGCAACUCUUCAUUGCGAAUCUCAGGGAACUUGUUGAUCAUCUCAGAGACCCAGCGUGUGAAAAGAGCUUCGUAUUUCAUCCCAAGAAAAAUCCAGCAUUACUUAACAGUCUUCCGAUUCACCAAGAAAGAGGGCAUAUUUUGUCAAUGUGCUCCUCUGGACUUGAUGAAGGUUAAAGCCUUCCCUGACCACAGAAAUCACUGGGGGAAAUCUUGGGCAAGUUGUGGGGGUUUAGGGCCUUGGUUUCACCUCUAGGAAAUAAAGUUG
Molecule: non-coding RNA, 1874 nt
Organism: Podarcis lilfordi (Lilford's wall lizard)
Lineage: Eukaryota; Metazoa; Chordata; Lepidosauria; Squamata; Lacertidae
Source: the annotation of a GenBank genome assembly